ACAAAUCGGAGGGAAAGAGAGUUCUAAGCAUAACUCAGAUCUACAAAAUCACAAACCAUACCUAUAAAAACCAGUUUGAAUCAAAGGAGGCUAUGAAGGGCAAUUUGAACCAAAGGAGGGAUGACUAUGUCAAUGUAUGAAAAGGGAAUGGAGUAGAGAGUUGCAUAAAUUAAUUGCAGCUGAGGCUUCUCUUAGUCCAGACCUUGUGUAUCGUUGUAUUGGUUAUAUUUCUAAAUCUAUGAUUCCCAUGGCUAAUAUAGUUAAUACUCAUCUUUAAGGAAAGUGUUGUCAAUGCUUAGCCAUAUACUUUCCAAUGCUAAAUUUCCUUGUAAGACUUCAGCAAUCUGACUCAUUUUUUGUCGAUAUUUUGCAGGUUUAUAUACACAUGCCGCAGCACAAUGAAUCAUUCGAAUCAUUUCUAUUUUUCUAUAAUUAUUUUGUAAUUUGACAUCAAUAAUAUUAUUAUAAUUGUGAGUAUCCAAAGCUUGUCUGAGUUGAGCUGCAACCCAAGAAGUCAAGGAUGCAGAUGGAUUGAAUUCCGUUGCAGUAGCUUGUUUCCCAGUAAUCAACUCCAGAAGUACAACACCGAAGCAAUACACGUCGGUCUUGUCACUUAGCAGGCCAGUUCUGCAAUAUUCAGGGCAAAGAUAGCCAGAGGUUCCCUUUACCGCAGUAGACAUAUGGGAAAAAGAUGAAUUUGAAAAUUCCUUGGCAAGUCCAAAAUCUGAAAUCUUUGGUUCAAAGUUUUGAUCAAGAAGGAUAUUGCCUGCAGUGAUAUUCCUGUGUAUGAUCUUUGGAUUACAGAUUUCAUGCAAAUAUGCCAAUCCUUUUGCAGAACCUACGGCAAUUUUCAUUCUGGUUGGCCAAUUGAUAACCACUCUGUUGUCCUGUUCAUGUAAAUAAUAUCGCAAGGAAUUGUUGGGAAUAAACUCAUAAAUAAGCAAUCUAUUGGCUUUCUCAUUGCAGUAUCCAAUCAGCUUCACUAGAUGUCGGUGAUGGAUGCGGUCAAGCAUCCCAAUCUUUGCCAUUAAUUCAUUUUCCCCUUGUCCAAACGUAUGUUUAAGCUUCUUAAUUGCAACAACCAUACCAUUUGGAAGCGUUCCCUUAAAAACUUGACCAAAACCACCUUCGCCAAGGAGAUUGACAUUGGAAAAGCCACCAGUUGUUUUUGCUAAUUCUUUAUAAGUAAAUACUUUUAACGGAGUAAUUCGUAUCCUCUCAACACUAAGUACAGAUUCUAGAUUAGUAGUAGGCCUUCCUCGAAGAGUUUCGAUGUCUUUCCAAUUCAUUAUCUUCACAUGAGGUAUAGUUCCUUCAAGAACUCUAAUUAUCUCUAUUGAUUAUCAUUUUAUACGUUUGAGUCCAUUAAUGAGAAUGUUGCACAUCUUUUUAGUUCCUCUUUAUCCUGUUUCAUUAUUGGUCGAGAGCGAGAAGGUUUAUACACUGAAGCUGCAGCACAACAAAUCAUUCUUAUCAUUUCCUCCUCAUUGUACUCUCGUAAUCUGGAAUCAACAAGAUCAGUAUAUUCAUUAUUUUCCAAUGCUUGUCCAAUCCGAUCCUUAGCCCAAUUAAUAAUAGUGUCCCCUCGAUUAUCUAAAGGUUUUCUUCCAGUAAUUAAUUCUAAAAGUACAACACCAAAAGAAUAUACAUCUGAUUUCUCAGACACUCUUUGAAUAUCACCAUAUUCUGGAUCUGCAUAAACAUUUGUUCCCCUCAAUAUACUGGUGAUGUGAUUAACAUUACCAGUAUUUGGCAGAAAAUUCGCAAGCGAAAAAUCUGCAACCUUUGGUUCAAAGUCAUUAUCAAGAAGAAUAUUAUCUGCUUUGAUAUCUCGAUGUAUAAUUUUAGGUUUGCCUUGAUGUAGAUAUAACAAUCCUUUUGCAGAGUGCAUGGCAAUAUUCAUUCUCUUCGGCCAUUCUAAAAUUUUAUUUUUUUCGUGUAAAUGAUCUGUCAAGGUAUUAUUGGGAACGAACUCUAGAACAAGUAAUCUAUCGGCUCCCUGCGUGCAAUGCCCAAUCAUCUUAACAAUAUUU
RNAcentral lists this unclassified non-coding RNA (2033 nucleotides) under Hevea brasiliensis (rubber tree). Lineage: Eukaryota; Viridiplantae; Streptophyta; Magnoliopsida; Malpighiales; Euphorbiaceae. The record is from RNAcentral.